CAAGGAGUCUAACAUGUGCGCGAGUCAUUGGGUUGACACUAAACCUAAAGGCGCAAUGAAAGUGAAGGUCCCGCCUCGUGCGGACCGAGGGAAGAUGGGCCGCGCUGCUGUGCGGCUCCGCAUUCCCGGGGCGUCUCGUUCUCAUUGCGAGUUGAGGCGCACCCAGAGCGUACACGUUGGGACCCGAAAGAUGGUGAACUAUGCCUGGCCAGGACGAAGUCAGGGGAAACCCUGAUGGAGGUCCGUAGCGAUUCUGACGUGCAAAUCGAUCGUCGGAGCUGGGUAUAGGGGCGAAAGACUAAUCGAACCAUCUAGUAGCUGGUUCCCUCCGAAGUUUCCCUCAGGAUAGCUGGUGCUCGAACGAGUCUCAUCCGGUCAAGCGAAUGAUUAGAGGCCUUGGGGCCGAAACGACCUCAACCUAUUCUCAAACUUUAAAUGGGUGAGAUCUCCGGCUUGCUUAAAACAUUUUUGAAGCCGCGAGAUUAAUUUCUUGGAUCGGAG
This 501-nucleotide ribosomal RNA is filed under the name Decticus verrucivorus. Its description in RNAcentral is "eukaryotic LSU rRNA". It matches the Rfam family "Eukaryotic large subunit ribosomal RNA", at positions 667 to 1126 of the family's 3401-position model. Lineage: Eukaryota; Metazoa; Arthropoda; Insecta; Orthoptera; Tettigoniidae. The record is from RNAcentral.